This 253-nucleotide ribosomal RNA is filed under the name uncultured bacterium. RNAcentral's name for it is "partial 16S ribosomal RNA". It matches the Rfam family "Bacterial small subunit ribosomal RNA", at positions 524 to 776 of the family's 1533-position model. The record is from RNAcentral.
UACGGAGGGUGCAAGCGUUAUCCGGAUUCACUGGGUUUAAAGGGUGCGUAGGCGGGUUUGUAAGUCAGUGGUGAAAUCCCGAAGCUUAACUUCGGAACUGCCAUUGAUACUAUAGAUCUUGAAUACUGUGGAGGUGGACGGAAUAUGUCAUGUAGUGGUGAAAUACUUAGAUAUGACAUAGAACACCGAUUGCGAAGGCAGUUCACUACACGGCGAUUGACGCUGAGGCACGAAAGCGUGGGGAUCAAACAGG